This 301-nucleotide ribosomal RNA is filed under the name uncultured bacterium. RNAcentral's name for it is "partial 16S ribosomal RNA". It matches the Rfam family "Bacterial small subunit ribosomal RNA", at positions 509 to 807 of the family's 1533-position model. The record is from RNAcentral.
CAGCAGCCGCGGGAAUACGAAGGGUGCAAGCGUUACUCGGAAUUACUGGGCGUAAAGCGUGCGUAGGUGGUGGUUUAAGUCCGUUGUGAAAGCCCUGGGCUCAACCUGGGAAUUGCAGUGGAUACUGGGUCACUAGAGUGUGGUAGAGGAUAGUGGAAUUUCCGGUGUAGCAGUGAAAUGCGUAGAGAUCGGAAGGAACAUCUGUGGCGAAGGCGACUAUCUGGGCCAACACUGACACUGAGGCACGAAAGCGUGGGGAGCAAACAGGAUUAGAUACCCCUGUAGUCCUUGUCUCUUAUAC